This is a non-coding RNA of Xyrichtys novacula (pearly razorfish), 539 nucleotides long. Lineage: Eukaryota; Metazoa; Chordata; Actinopteri; Labriformes; Labridae. The record is from the annotation of a GenBank genome assembly.
GCUGGCCUUUGCAAAACAGUCAGAAAUGCAACAUAUGCUGCAGAUAAAGCCUUGACAUUGAGAAUAAAACAGAAAAACGUUUUAUCUGUCAGGGUCAGUCUGAAAACAGCUUGCGUGCUCUCUCUUGGACGUGUGUAAAGGUGUCUGUUUAGAUUCCCUGACAGAUAGCGCUGCAGGUCUCACUGAUAGCAGAACUCUGCUUUGCAAGGCUUGACCCUAGGGGCUCACCUGGCCGACGUGUUUUCAGUCCAGAGGAAUGUGAGAUAAUUCCUGCCGUUUACACAGGGUCAGCAUGGAUAGGAGGGGUGAAGAGUGAGACUAACAGGCCCGUAGGUGUCCAGUACCAGAAGAGAGGACAGGCAGGACCUCUGAGCUGGGGGUCAGCCAGGUGCAGACUAGCUACUCACACAGAGAAGGCCUGUGUCAACAGCUUCACAAAUCUCCAAAACAAAACAAAAGCUUGAAUCUCAAAGCUGGCCCUCUUCUGUCUGCAUGGUCACGUUUCUUUGAAUAAAACAGGGGAUACAAGCGGUCACACA